CCUACGGGUGGCUGCAGUGGGGAAUAUUGGACAAUGGGCGAAAGCCUGAUCCAGCCAUGCCGCGUGUGUGAAGAAGGCCUUCGGGUUGUAAAGCACUUUCAGUGGGGAAGAAAGCCUUGGGGCUAAUACCCUCGAGGAAGGACAUCACCCACAGAAGAAGCACCGGCUAACUCCGUGCCAACAGCCGCGGUAAUACGGAGGGUGCGAGCGUUAAUCGGAAUUACUGGGCGUAAAGCGCGCGUAGGCGGUCUGAUAAGCCGGUUGUGAAAGCCCCGGGCUCAACCUGGGAACGGCAUCCGGAACUGUCAGGCUAGAGUGCAGGAGAGGAAGGUAGAAUUCCCGGUGUAGCAGUGAAAUGCGUAGAGAUCGGGAGGAAUACCAGUGGCGAAGGCGGCCUUCUGGACUGACACUGACGCUGAGGUGCGAAAGCGUGGGUAGCAAACAGGAUUAGAUACCCCGGUAGUC
RNAcentral lists this ribosomal RNA (465 nucleotides) under Vreelandella stevensii. Its description in RNAcentral is "partial 16S ribosomal RNA". It matches the Rfam family "Bacterial small subunit ribosomal RNA", at positions 338 to 795 of the family's 1533-position model. The record is from RNAcentral. Lineage: Bacteria; Pseudomonadati; Pseudomonadota; Gammaproteobacteria; Oceanospirillales; Halomonadaceae.